Molecule: ribosomal RNA, 292 nt
Filed under: uncultured bacterium
Lineage: Bacteria
Description: partial 16S ribosomal RNA
Rfam family: Bacterial small subunit ribosomal RNA
Source: RNAcentral
GUGCCAGCAGCCGCGGUAAGACAGAGGUGGCAAGCGUUGCUCGGAGUUACUGGGCUUAAAGGGCGCGUAGGCGGCCGUGCACGUCGGAGGUGAAAUCCCCGGGCUCAACCCGGGAACUGCCCCCGAUACGGCGCGGCUGGAGUGCGGGAGGGGAGAGUGGAACUCCUGGUGGAGCGGUGAAAUGCGUAGAUAUCAGGAGGAACGCCGGUGGCGAAAGCGACUCUCUGGUCCGCAACUGACGCUGAGGCGCGAAAGCCAGGGGAGCAAACGGGAUUAGAUACCCUCGUAGUCC